This 397-nucleotide ribosomal RNA is filed under the name uncultured bacterium. RNAcentral's name for it is "partial 16S ribosomal RNA". It matches the Rfam family "Bacterial small subunit ribosomal RNA", at positions 523 to 918 of the family's 1533-position model. The record is from RNAcentral.
AUACGUAGGGGGCGAGCGUUGUCCGGAGUGAUUGGGCGUAAAGGGCGCGUAGGCGGCCCGGUAAGUCUGGAGUGAAAGUCCUGUUUUUAAGAUGGGAAUUGCUUUGGAUACUGUCGGGCUUGAGUGCAGGAGAGGUAAGUGGAAUUCCCAGUGUAGCGGUGAAAUGCGUAGAGAUUGGGAGGAACACCAGUGGCGAAGGCGACUUACUGGACUGUAACUGACGCUGAGGCGCGAAAGUGUGGGGAGCAAACAGGAUUAGAUACCCUGGUAGUCCACACUGUAAACGAUGAAUGCUAGGUGUAGGGGGUAUCGACCCCUUCUGUGCCGCAGUCAACACAAUAGGCAUUCCGCCUGGGGAGUACGGCCGCAAGGUUGAAACUCAAAGGAAUUGACGGGG